AGUGAACGCUGGCGGUAGGCCUAACACAUGCAAGUCGAACGGCAGCACAGUAAGAGCUUGCUCUUACGGGUGGCGAGUGGCGGACGGGUGAGGAAUACAUCGGAAUCUACUUUUUCGUGGGGGAUAACGUAGGGAAACUUACGCUAAUACCGCAUACGACCUACGGGGGAAAGCAGGGGAUAUUCGGACCUUGCGCGAUUGAAUGAGCCGAUGUCGGAUUAGCUAGUUGGAGGGGUAAAGGCCCACCAAGGCGACGGUCGGUAGCUGGUCUGAGAGGAUGAUCAGCCACACUGGAGCUGAGACACGGUCCAGACGCCUGCGGGAGGCAGCAGUGGGGAAUAUUGGACAAUGGGCGCAAGCCUGAUCCAGCCAUACCGCGUGGGUGAAGAAGGCCUUCGGGUUGUAAAGCCCUUUUGUUGGGAAAGAAAAGCAGCAGGUUAAUACCCCGCUGUUCUGACGGUACCCAAAGAAUAAGCACCGGCUAACUUCGUG
Molecule: ribosomal RNA, 492 nt
Filed under: uncultured bacterium
Lineage: Bacteria
Description: partial 16S ribosomal RNA
Rfam family: Bacterial small subunit ribosomal RNA
Source: RNAcentral